Molecule: small RNA, 47 nt
Organism: Planctomyces sp. SH-PL14
Lineage: Bacteria; Pseudomonadati; Planctomycetota; Planctomycetia; Planctomycetales; Planctomycetaceae
Rfam family: Acido-Lenti-1 RNA
Source: Rfam
CCCACCCUUGAAAGGGUGGGCUAUUUUCGGCCGUCCCUGGCGGGACU